RNAcentral lists this ribosomal RNA (485 nucleotides) under uncultured bacterium. Its description in RNAcentral is "bacterial SSU rRNA". It matches the Rfam family "Bacterial small subunit ribosomal RNA", at positions 327 to 804 of the family's 1533-position model. The record is from RNAcentral.
CGCCUUAUACUCCUACGGGAGGCAGCAGUGGGGAAUAUUGGACAAUGGGCGAAAGCCUGAUCCAGCCAUGCCGCGUGUGUGAGGAAGGUCUUCGGAUUGUAAAGCACUUUAAGUUGGGAGGAAGGGCAGUAAGCUAAUACCUUACUGUUCUGACGUUACCGACAGAAUAAGCACCGGCUAACUCUGUGCCAGCAGCCGCGGUAAUACAGAGGGUGCAAGCGUUAAUCGGAAUUACUGGGCGUAAAGCGCGCGUAGGUGGUUUGUUAGGUUGGAUGUGAAAGCUCCGGGCUCAACCUGGGAACUGCAUCCAAAACUGGCAAGCUAGAGUACGGUAGAGGGUGGUGGAAUUUCCUGUGUAGCGGUGAAAUGCGUAGAUAUAGGAAGGAACACCAGUGGCGAAGGCGACCACCUGGACUGAUACUGACACUGAGGUGCGAAAGCGUGGGGAGCAAAUAGGAUUAGAAACCCCGGUAGUCCACGUACCA